This 547-nucleotide ribosomal RNA is filed under the name uncultured bacterium. RNAcentral describes it as "bacterial SSU rRNA". It matches the Rfam family "Bacterial small subunit ribosomal RNA", at positions 777 to 1320 of the family's 1533-position model. The record is from RNAcentral.
AAUAGAUACCCAGGUAGUCCACCCCGUAAACGUUGGGAACUAGUUGUGGGGUCCUUUCCACGGAUUCCGUGACGCAGCUAACGCGUUAAGUUCCCCGCCUGGGGAGUACGGCCGCAAGGCUAAAACUCAAAGGAAUUGACGGGGACCCGCACAAGCGGCGGAGCAUGCGGAUUAAUUCGAUGCAACGCGAAGAACCUUACCAAGGCUUGACAUACACCAGAACACCCUAGAAAUAGGGGACUCUUUGGACACUGGUGAACAGGUGGUGCAUGGUUGUCGUCAGCUCGUGUCGUGAGAUGUUGGGUUAAGUCCCGCAACGAGCGCAACCCUCGUUCUAUGUUGCCAGCACGUAAUGGUGGGAACUCAUGGGAUACUGCCGGGGUCAACUCGGGAGGAAGGUGGGGGAUGACGUCAAAUCAUCAUGCCCCUUAUGUCUUGGGCUUCACGCAUGCUACAAUGGCCGGUACAAGGGCUGCAAUACCGUGAGGUGGAGCGAAUCCCAAAAAGCCGGUCCCAGUUCGGAUUGAGGUCUGCAACGUCGACCUCA